Molecule: non-coding RNA, 441 nt
Organism: Ceratotherium simum simum (southern white rhinoceros)
Lineage: Eukaryota; Metazoa; Chordata; Mammalia; Perissodactyla; Rhinocerotidae
Source: RefSeq, a predicted model, not a curated record
CUAUUUUUUUAAAAAAUCACUUGAAACUUUUUAUUCUAUUUAGAGUUUUAAUUCAUUUUGCUGUUUCGUGUGAAGAAAAUUUCUAAAUCAAUUUUCCCAUAAAUAGCUAGCCAACAGUCUCAGCAUCAAUUACUGAAAAGAAAAUACAUCUCUUCUUCCAUCUUAAAACUAAACUACCUGAACCAUGCAUACCCUUCAAGCUAUGUCCUUUCUCUUGAAGCUAUGCAUCUAAAAUUAUGAAAAUCUGAUUUACCUUCAUCUCUAUUUACUCGCUACUUGGGUACUCUUUCUCUUUCACCUUACUGGAAACUGGCUUCUGUUCCACAUCAAAAUGCUAUGACUGUUCUCACAAAGUGGUCUGGAGAACAUAAUCUCCUGGGCACUUUUAAAGUCAACCCUUCUGGGCCAAGACAACUGAUAUUGUUGUAUUAGUAUCUAGGA